Limulus polyphemus (Atlantic horseshoe crab) is the source of this 1368-nucleotide long non-coding RNA. RefSeq lists it as uncharacterized. The transcript is spliced from 4 exons. The record is from RefSeq and is a predicted model, not a curated record. Lineage: Eukaryota; Metazoa; Arthropoda; Merostomata; Xiphosura; Limulidae.
AACAUCAUGCGCUUAGAGUGAAUCAGUCAAGUGUUAGCUAUGGCGGUUACUUUGCGAUCUUAACCUUAACCAGAGGCGCCUAGUGGCAUGGAUUGGACGUAUAAAAUCCAGGAUUUAUCCGAGUUUGUGGGAAUUUAUAAAUAAGUAUGCAGUGUACGAUAGGUAUGACGCUUACACUAUAAAGUUUCCAAAUCGGUAAGAAAUGACCGAGUUACAACUUGCCACAUCAUUAGCAGAAAUUCCAUAGUUAAUGACAGCAAUUCUUGUUGUGUAACAGACUGAUCCGUUAUGUGAGUCUCCUUCUUCAUCGCCCUUCAUUUUAUCUGUUUUUCAGACUGUGACUGAAACUUUGCUACUCUUCGGCAUCUCAUCAUUCAUCAUUAUUCCCUCAAUUACCCGCAUGGCAAGGUUCCAAGUUGUUUGAUUUACAUGGGCAGCGGCUGUGGAUGCGAUCACCUCAUGUUGAUGCAAAGAACGAGGUUUUCGACAUUAAACAAACAAUGUAAAAGUUCGCAUAAUUUAAUUUUAGAAUAAAAAAAAAGAGAUUCAAUUCGUGUGUGUGUGACCGCAGCUGGUAAGGUGGUGCAGUCUCUUUUAACUGCUUGUAACUUCUGACUGAAAUACGUUAUCAUUAUAUGGACCGCAUAUUUAAAUACAGCAAAUUCCGAAAAUUCCAGCGGUGUGUGCAACACUUCGAAGAAACAACUUCCGGGAUUUCUUGUCCCUUGCCCUGUCACCCAAAAACACUACUUUGUCACUGAAUGAGGGAGAGAUCCUGUGUUAAAAAGGAUAUAACGUCUCCCUAAAAACCAUGAGCAUGCACUACGUAUUGCAUUUACUCUCAAAAUUCUCCAUUUUGCAUGGGUGACAUAAUUAUACAAUUUUUCACUAUGGAAUUUUUGUACGAUCAGAUUUGUGUGGCGUUUAAAGAAAUGACGUACAUCCUGUACAUUCCAGAAAACUAAUACAUUCUGUCAACAUCGGAACUGAAAAUGUAGAAAGCCAAAAUUUAUUUACGAUUCCUGCCCAGCUGUAAUCAUGGUUUACCUGAUGAUGAUGAUUCACUGAUGACAAUUUUUCAGAGAAGCCUUCUUGAAUCUAAAAGUUAUUUGAUGAAAACGACUCUUGAUGCGAACAAGAAUCUGAGAGCGGAGCGAUGACAAUAUUCUUGGUGGUUGGACGAACUGUUUUGUCGGCCAUUUGAAGAAGACCGCGGAUUUUGAAAUCAGGAUUUGAUCGUUUUGGUUUAAAAACUGGCCAAUGGGAGAAGAGUUAGGGACAAAAAGAUUUGAGACUACUGAACCAGCCUCGGAUCUGUGAUUAGGAAACAAGAAAAAAAAAGUAUGAAAUGAAAACAGUUUUUGUUCA